UACGGAGGGUGCGAACGUUGUCCGGAAUCACUGGGCGUAAAGCGCAUGUAGGUGGUUUGGUAAGUGGGCGAUUAAAGACCGAUGCUCAACAUCGGGAAUGUUACCUAUACUGCCAGACUCGAGAAUGACAGGGGUAAGCGGAACUUUAGGUGUAGGAGUGAAAUCCGUAGAUAUCUAAAGGAACACCAAUGGCGAAGGCAGCUUACUGGGUCUUUUCUGACACUAAGAUGCGAAGGCGUGGGGAGCAAACGGG
Molecule: ribosomal RNA, 253 nt
Filed under: uncultured bacterium
Lineage: Bacteria
Description: partial 16S ribosomal RNA
Rfam family: Bacterial small subunit ribosomal RNA
Source: RNAcentral